UACGAAGGGGGCAAGCGUUGUUCGGAAUUACUGGGCGUAAAGGGCGCGUAGGCGGCUUACCAAGUCAGGCGUGAAAUUCCCGGGCUCAACCUGGGGGCUGCGCUUGAUACUGGUGAGCUUGAAUGCGGGAGAGGAUAGUGGAAUUCCCAGUGUAGAGGUGAAAUUCGUAGAUAUUGGGAAGAACACCGGUGGCGAAGGCGGCUAUCUGGCCCGUAAUUGACGCUGAGGCGCGAAAGCUAGGGGAGCAAACGGG
RNAcentral lists this ribosomal RNA (253 nucleotides) under uncultured bacterium. RNAcentral's name for it is "partial 16S ribosomal RNA". It matches the Rfam family "Bacterial small subunit ribosomal RNA", at positions 524 to 776 of the family's 1533-position model. The record is from RNAcentral.